Molecule: long non-coding RNA, 1222 nt
Organism: Aegilops tauschii subsp. strangulata
Lineage: Eukaryota; Viridiplantae; Streptophyta; Magnoliopsida; Poales; Poaceae
Source: RefSeq, a predicted model, not a curated record
GUCCAUCUUUCUGUAUCUCUAAUGUCGGACGGGAAUCAUAUACCAAAUGCCGCAUGGAGAGCAAUUUCGAUCAUCUGUGCACUGAAUCCUGUCUCUCUCUUCCUUUUUUUCAGACUCUCUCUCUCUCUCUUCCUUUCUUUUUUAUUCUUUUCUUUUUGUUUCAAAGUUCAACCAACAAAGCUACCGGGCCGGAGGUCCAUCCCCAACGCUUCGUUGUCUUCCUCCUUCAGCGUGCGCGCACACGCAUGCACAAGACGAAGCAGCAGAAACGGCAGCACGCGUGAUCCCCGCCGCUCCAUCGGUCCACGAACCGAUUCUGCUACUCAUCCGUUUAAAUCCACCUCCAGAAACUGACGGACCGAACCGAAUAACGCAUUGGAUUCGUCGCCAGCCCGGCCAUCACUCCAAACGUCACCCGGGUCACGCGUACGCCCGGACCUCCCCAUAUAAAACACCAAUGUCUCGUUUCCCCAAUUUAUUUCCUUCGCUUCGCAACCUUCCCACGCCAGAGCCAAAACCGCGCCGUCUUACGCCCGCCGCCGCCGGAGUUCGCGUGGCCAGGCCGCCGCUUCCGCUCGGGACUGACACCACCGUCGAGUCGCCUGAGGACCGGUCCGGCCAUUCCAUCCGCGUGACAGGAUUCGCUUCGUUGCCAGGAGGCAUGCCAACCACUUGGACAGCAACGGAGUUCAGCGGCCACGACGCAGCACACCGACGCGGACCUCGACAUCACCAUCGGCGACAUGGCUGGGAGAUGACAUGACUGGGAAGGAGCACCACCUGGAAUAGGGAGAUGAAGGACUCGUCAACGUAGGCAUGCCUCUCUCUUUGAUCAUGCUUAUAUAUAACUUGCUUUAAAUAUUGCAUAGUAUUUUAUGGUUUAUAAGCAUGCAUGAUAUUUAAUCUUGUAGGUAGUGUCAAUUGACACUUUAAAGUGAUUUGCUUGUCGCUUGUUUCACUUGACGUCGGAGUGUAAUUAUGUACUAAUCAUGCAUAAAGUAGAAAUGCUUAGCCAUGCUCAAUAAUCUAUAUGUAGUUGCCACUUCAGAUGAGUUUCCAGGAUCAAUGACACUUUGAAACUUACAAUUGAGCUCGUCGAGCUAGGACAUUGGGCCAGUUGUUGGUUCAUCUACUCUGGGCGAAACUUACCAACCAAACACUUAUCCAUGUGGCAGAUGAAUCAAGGAUUCAAGUAGCAAUUGGCUACCCUUCAAAAGCUGAA